CGUUGGGGGAGCAGAACUUUUAAUAAAAUCUAAUCCCAUCUGAUCUCAGAAGCUAAGCAGGGUUGGACCUGGUUAGUACUUAGAUGGGAGACCACCUAGGAAGACCAGGUGCUGUAAGGU
Molecule: ribosomal RNA, 120 nt
Organism: Pteropus vampyrus (large flying fox)
Lineage: Eukaryota; Metazoa; Chordata; Mammalia; Chiroptera; Pteropodidae
Source: Ensembl